UAUGAGGAAAGUUACAAAAGGAAAUGUGACAAUAAAGCUCUGGGAUCUUGGAGGGCAGCGGAGAUUUCGAAGCAUGUGGGAGCGUUACUGUCGUGGGGUCUCUGCGAUUCUAUAUGUAGUUGAUGCUGCUGAUAGAGACAGUGUUCCAAUAUCUCGAAGUGAAUUGCAUGACCUCCUGGUAAAACCCUCCUUGAGUGGAAUUCCUUUGCUUGUUCUUGGUAACAAAAUUGACAGGUCUGAAGCUCUUUCAAAGCAAGCUUUGGUGGAUCAGCUAGGUCUUGAAUCAAUUACGGAUAGAGAGGUGUGCUGCUAUAUGAUUUCAUGCAAGGACUCAAUAAACAUAGAUGUUGUCAUUGACUGGCUUAUCAAACACUCAAAAACAGUAAAAUGAUCUGUGAUUUGACCUUUAUUCUAGACAGUCGUCUUUUCUGAAGUGAUGAAGGUGAAGAUCCUCAAGCUUAAGAGCAGAAUUGGUGAUACCUAGUGGAAUUUAUUUCCUGUACCUGGUUGUGUUUCCAGCAUUUUGUACAGUUGUGGAACUAUUGAGACAAGUUGUUAAUGCAUUGUUUUAUUUAUUCUUUUUUCCCCUCCCAUAUUUUGUUGUUUCUGGCAUAAG
Molecule: unclassified non-coding RNA, 616 nt
Filed under: Hevea brasiliensis (rubber tree)
Lineage: Eukaryota; Viridiplantae; Streptophyta; Magnoliopsida; Malpighiales; Euphorbiaceae
Source: RNAcentral